This 78-nucleotide microRNA precursor is filed under the name Nicotiana sylvestris (wood tobacco). Its description in RNAcentral is "MIR6145 microRNA precursor family". It matches the Rfam family "MIR6145 microRNA precursor family". RNAcentral also lists the same sequence under 1 other name. The record is from Rfam by way of RNAcentral. Lineage: Eukaryota; Viridiplantae; Streptophyta; Magnoliopsida; Solanales; Solanaceae.
GCAAUUAGCAUUGCUACAUAUAGCAUUGGCUUGUAUGAGAAAUCGAUCGCCAAUGCUAAUGUAGCAAUACCUCUUGCA